UACAGAGGGGGCAAGCGUUGUUCGGAAUUACUGGGCGUAAAGGGCUCGUAGGCGGCCAACUAAGUCGGAUGUGAAAUCCCCAGGCUUAACCUGGGAACUGCAUCCGAUACUGGAUGGCUUGAAUCCGGGAGAGGGAUGCAGAAUUCCAGGUGUAGCGGUGAAAUGCGUAGAUAUCUGGAGGAAUACCGGUGGCGAAGGCGGCAUCCUGGACCGGCAUUGACGCUGAGUGAGCGAAAGCCAGGGGAGCAAACGGG
RNAcentral lists this ribosomal RNA (254 nucleotides) under uncultured bacterium. Its description in RNAcentral is "partial 16S ribosomal RNA". It matches the Rfam family "Bacterial small subunit ribosomal RNA", at positions 524 to 776 of the family's 1533-position model. The record is from RNAcentral.